This 999-nucleotide long non-coding RNA is filed under the name Theobroma cacao (cacao). Its description in RNAcentral is "long non-coding RNA (TCAC_LNC001723)". Lineage: Eukaryota; Viridiplantae; Streptophyta; Magnoliopsida; Malvales; Malvaceae. The record is from RNAcentral.
UUUAUCCAAUUUUGUAAUUUUAUGAAAAAUGUGUUUAAAGAAAUGAUUUUAUAAAUUGUUUUGAAAUUUAAUGAUGACAUGGAAAUGGAGUAAUUGAAGACUACUUGUUGUAUUGUAAAUUAUGUUUUGAAUUGAAUGGCUUAUGAUAAUGUGGGCAUGAAUGGCUGGAUGGGUAUUUGUGUUGAAAAUUUAUAAACUGUUAUUUGCCUUGAUAGGCUGGAUAAUGAUAAAAUUGUCAUGUCAUGCUGUUGAAUUUUUAUUGAUUUGGUGGGAUAUCGAUUAGCUUACUGCAGUGGCGAGUUUCUGUGGACCAGCCUAUUAGAGGGGCACGGUAAACCCCGUUAUAUUUUACCUUGGUAUGAGAGGCGCGUAGGGUAACUUCUAAGGUAAAGCUUAGAGUUCACUUCACGUCGAACCACCACGUGAGAGUGAAUUCAGCCAACGCUAAGGAACGACUAUGCUUUUAAACGUAAAAAUGUGUUUUGUGCGCAUAUGACCUUUUAACAGCCUUGGUGGACUCGGUUAAAUGCCUCGACCAAGGUAUCCUCGAGAAUGAGUUUUGGUACAAGCCAAGUUUUCAAGAGAUUCAUAAGCCUCAUUGUAUAGUUUGGAUGAAAUGUAACUGGCUUAGAUGAUUUGAAAUGUGUUUUGAUGUUAUGAACCAUUUUAUGAUGAUCUAUUUUAAUUGUCUCCAUUUACUCAGCUUUAGAUAUUUUAGAUGAUAUUUGUUUACUCACUGGGAUUAUAUAAUCUCAUCACCCUCCUUUCCACCCAUUUCAGGCUCAGGAUAGUUUGUAGAUAGCUGAUAUCAUCGAAGGCUACAAUUGGCUUUACUUCCUCAAAAAUCGUAGGUUCACAGCCUUCACUCACUUUUGUCAUUUGGGGGCCCACGUGUCAUUGUAAAUUUAAUUACAUACCUUGACUAUCUGUAUUACAGUAUGUAUGAAUUUUUUUCGCUUUUACACUACAAAAAUUCCUUACAGAUAACUCUAGAAAAAU